Molecule: RNA transcript, 1642 nt
Organism: Ruditapes philippinarum (Manila clam)
Lineage: Eukaryota; Metazoa; Mollusca; Bivalvia; Venerida; Veneridae
Gene name: kinesin-like protein KIFC3
Source: RefSeq, a predicted model, not a curated record
AUGCAGCAAGCCUUUGCUGUACAGAUUGAGGAGGCUGUACAGACGGAGAGACAGACGACGGCAGAGAAAAUGUUGUUCCUGGAAACCAAGUACAGUGAAUUGAUUGAUCAGCUACGUAACAUACAGCCUAUCUUGUCCGAGUUUAUAGAAUCUUAUAUACUCCUGCAGAAAGAGGUUACACAGUUUCCUAAAAUUAUACGUAAAACUGUCAACAGUGUGAAGAAAGAGGUGGCAGGUGCUAUAACAGGUGUUAGUGAGUACAACAAGGAACUGGUACAGAAAUAUCAGAAGGAGAUGAGACUGAGGAAAAAAUAUCAUAAUGAACUUGUUGAACUUAAAGGUAAUAUACGGGUAUUUUGUCGUGUACGACCUCUCAUUAAAGAAGAUGGUAACGGUCAGCAGGCUGAGAACAUUGUUAGUCUAGAUAAUGAUGAUGACGGUGUACUAUAUAUCAACAGUAAAGGUAGAACACAGACCUUUGACGUAGAUAAAGUGUUUGGUGAAAAAAGUACACAAAACCAGGUAUUUGAGGAAGUGAAGGCAUUGGUAACAUCAUGUAUAGAUGGUUAUAAUGUAUGUAUAUUUGCCUAUGGUCAGACUGGAAGUGGUAAAACUUAUACCAUGGAGGGUACUGAGAGUAAUCCAGGCAUAAACCAGAGAGCUCUAGCAGAACUGUUUGAGGAGACAGCGGCCAGGGUAGACUGGGAGUUCAGCAUUACUGUUAGUGUGAUAGAAAUAUACAACGAAAUGAUCAGAGACCUUCUAGGUGAUGAUACAUCAUUUAAGAUGGAGGUGAAGAUGAACCCGGACGGUGGCUAUCAUAUACCUGGACUGUGUUAUGUUACUGUACAGUCAGUAGCAGAUGUAAAUGAGUGUUUCAGAAUAGGAACACAGAACCGUGCCACGGCAGCCACGAACAUGAAUGAACAUUCUUCACGAUCUCACGCUCUCCUAUGUGUAACUGUGAUAGGCUUCAAUAAAACCACUGCUGCUAAAACCACAGGCAAGCUCAAUCUUGUUGAUCUGGCUGGCUCAGAGAGAGUAAGCAAGUCUAAGGCUGAUGGUGCUAGACUGAAAGAAGCCCAGUGUAUAAACAAGUCACUGUCAUCACUAGGGGACGUAAUCUUUGCUUUAAGGUCAAAGCAGAGUUACAUCCCUUACAGAAACUCCAAGUUGACCUACUUAUUGCAAGAUUCAUUAGGUGGUGAUAGUAAAACUCUCAUGAUCACGCAGAUUGCCCCAGUUAGGAAAAAUGAAGGGGAGACAAUCUGUUCCCUCAAUUUUGCACAGCGUGUUAGGAAUGUAGAACUUGGUGCAGCCACUAGAAAGUUGGAGAAUGGGGAUGGGACAGAGGCGUUUCAGACACCACGUCGUGGAGUACGAACCUAAAUCAUCAACAUCAUCAUCACCUUAUCAUCAUUCAUCAUCAGAGGUGUGCAUUGAAGUUAAGAAUGAUCCUUCUUCACCAGCUAGAACAUAUUCCACACCACAGAGAAUGAACAUGGUUAACAAAUCAAGUACACCUACAUCUUCAUUGGCGCUGAAAUCAAGCACACCUUCAAAUAUUGCAAAUAAAGCCAGUACACCUUCUUCCAGCUCGAAACUCACACCAGUACGACAUGCAAGAAAGAAAUAAUAAUUA